Molecule: ribosomal RNA, 228 nt
Filed under: uncultured bacterium
Lineage: Bacteria
Description: partial 16S ribosomal RNA
Rfam family: Bacterial small subunit ribosomal RNA
Source: RNAcentral
UACAGUGGCGUACGGGUGAGUAACACGUGGGGAUCUACCUUCGGGUGGGGGAUAACUCUGGGAAACCGGAGCUAAUACCGCAUAAGCAGGGAACUGGAAAGCCGAAAGGCGCCGGAAGAGGAGCCCGCGGCCGAUUAGCUAGUUGGUGAGGUAACGGCUCACCAAGGCGACGAUCAGUAGCUGGUCUGAGAGGAUGAUCAGCCACAUUGGGACUGAGACACGGCCCAA